RNAcentral lists this non-coding RNA (90 nucleotides) under Lotharella globosa. The record is from RNAcentral. Lineage: Eukaryota; Cercozoa; Chlorarachniophyceae.
CUCUCGAAAGGCCGCCCCACCCAACUGUCCCAGAUCUCCGCGAGACCUGCGGCACCCAGCUACCAGCUACCCGCUACCAGCUACCACUCC